Long non-coding RNA from Bacillus rossius redtenbacheri, 2567 nucleotides. RefSeq lists it as uncharacterized. The record is from RefSeq and is a predicted model, not a curated record. The transcript is spliced from 6 exons. NCBI's taxonomy places the organism in Eukaryota, Metazoa, Arthropoda, Insecta, Phasmatodea, Bacillidae.
AAUGUGUAAGUGAUGGACUUCUAUGAGUGAAAUGUUUCCUGAGAUGUUAGUGUGACCGAGUUUUAUUUGAGUCAAUGAUAAAUAUGUAAAUAAAAUCCUGGCUAACGACCUGUUAUAGACAUACACAGUAUAUUUAAGUACCUAUAUGUUAUAAAGAAAACAUGUGAUUAAAGUGAACAUACUGGUACAUAAUCAUUUUAAUGGAUGUUUACAGGAAAUAAGAGGACACCUGUUACUGGGCAGUUCAUUGAUGGUGCAUUUAGGGCAUCAUGUAAGCAGAACCAGGUAUGGGAUAACCCUACCGUGGGAAAGAAAUGCAAACGGAAAAGUGAUCUUGGGUUUGUCAGUCUCUGGGAGCAAGCUGCAAAACAAUCUGCGCACAGCAAAAAGGAGACAGGAGGAACUGAGAGGAAGAAAAGUGCUCCUGUUAACAGGGACCGAUGAUGUGUUGGCAAACUCUAGAUAUAAGUGGUUGUACCUGAAGUAUAACAACCUUGUGCAGUUUUUGCUGAGCAUCGAUUGUGAGCUGGUGCUCAUGACGGUGCCUCCCAUACGAGUUCUGCCAAAGGAGGAUGGAAGGAAUGAUCUCCUGCUCAAGUUUAAUCAACUUGUCAGGCACAUCGCAGAAAACAAGAGUCUAUGCCUGAUAGACAUUUUCACAUUGUUUACGGAUGGGCCAAUCAAGGAAAUGAUGUUUGAGGAGUUCUGCCAUAGCGGAAUAAUUGAUCAGCUUCAUUGGAACAACCAGGGGAUGGAGGAGGUCGUUCGUAAAAUCGAAACUGAACUAUGAUGACUUAUUCCAGGGAUUAUUCCUUUGACGAUGCCUCUGGCCGAAGAAAAAUUUUAAGGUCGUAUACUUUUUUAAUUAUUAGCAUGUAUUCUUUUUCUGCUUUACAUUUAAGUAUUUUCAGACAAGGGUCUUAAGACCUGAUUCUUAGAUUUAACUGGUGUAUAUUACAGUUUAAUUUCUUAACGAUGCCUCUGGCUGAAAAAAAAGUUAAGGUAAUAAAUAUUUUUUUAUUAUUAGCAUGUGUUCUAUUUCGACUUUACAUUUAAAUAUUUUAAGACAAAGGUCUUAAGACCUGAUUCUUGGAUGAAACUGUUAUACAUUACGGCUUAUUUCCUUAACGAUGCCUCUGGCUGAGAAUAAAAAUUUAAGGUCAUAUAUUUUUUAAUUAAUAACAUGGUUUCUUUUCCUACUUAGUGUUUUCAUACAAUAGUCUUAAUAACCGGUUCUUGGAUUUAAGUGGUAUACGUUACGGCUUUCUUUAACGAUGCCUCUGGCUGAAGAAGUGUAAUGUGGCAUAUUUAAAUUUAUUGGCAUGGAUUUUUUUCUUUCUUAUUUUCAGUUAUGUGUUUUCAGACAGACCUUCAGUCCUGGUUCUUAUACAAAAGUAGUGCAUGCUAAGUCAUCGUGACAGCUAGUGGAACUUCACUUAGGAAUCUUAGGCCUCCUGAAUGUCUGCAGAAAUUUUUCCAAGCAUAUGUGAUAUGUCAAAAAGAUAUGUGAAAACUGCUGAAAAUGUUGCCAAAGAAAGAGGCUAGAUUGCCAACACCUAAUAAGUAAUAACAUUGGGAAUACUGACUUCGGUACUGCAAAAAUAAAUGUAACUGAAUAUAUAAUGUAAACAGAUAAUUUACACUGUCAUUUAUUUGGUUUCGUAUACAAGACACAUUGUAAGUGAUAUGAAUAUAAAUAUAAAGGUAACAUGUUUUACCGUAUUUACUCGAAUAUAGGUCACACCCAUAAUUUGAGGUCUUGAAUUUGGUAUUUAAGAUUCCCCCCAUAUAGGUCGCACCCAUAAUUUGAGGUCUUGAAUUUGGUAUUUAAGAUUCCCCCCAUAUAGGUCGCACCGGUAAUUUAAUGACGCGAACUGCCGGCGCGCCGUGCACGAAAGAGUAAACGGGUACUGUAAGACUCCGCUACUAGGAGAGCUGAUAAUGGCGUGAUAAAUUGUUGUAACAAGUACUCGUAAUAACCGAAUAUAGAAAAUUGAAGUCAAGUUAGAUUCCUAACUUCUUAAAAUGUCUUAAUUGUAGACUAUAACUCAAAAACAGUGCUUUGUAUUGAAAAAAUUCACAGAAUAAAAGUUGUAGUAAAUUUAAUUACGAAUAAUAAAGGCCUGUUAUGAUUUUUUAUAUCUACAGUGGUUUUCGUUUUAAACGUGCAAUUGGCCUGACACGUGAAACCAUUGCUUCUCCCCUUCCCUUUUUCUACUUGUUUGCCAUCCAGGUGCAACAUCGCCCUUCAUUUACCAUUUUUUUUUGUGUUUACUGCGUGAACAUUUUCAACAGUUUUUUCCCCCUUCUUCGAAGAUGCCAUUUAAACUUUUGUUGCCUUUAAUUUUUUGUGUGUGUUUGAUUUCUUGUUAUGAAAAUUCGCUUGGUUAAUUAAAAUAUAAGAACAGUGCUAUUAUGAAAUGCUGUGACAUGUUUUUGGAGUAGAUAAUCACAGCGACAGACCGACAGGAUGUGCUCCCGCCCUUGCCGUCAGCGAUGUUUAUUUUGACAGCUCAAGCAAUUAUCCACGACCCUUCACAGCGUAAAAAAAAAAAAGAAAAGAAAAA